GGAAAGUGCAUCAAUUCGAAUUCUUGAAUCCAAUACUUUACAAUAUUUAAUAUUUUACUUCGACAAACUUCUUCAAUUUCAAACAAUGUGUGAUCACCUUCAAGAACUACAGUCGUGCAAGUAAUUAACAAAAAAUAACACAAUAAAAUAAGUACUCAUUACUAAAAUGUACUAAAUAUAUUAUACCUAUUCUUAAUUAAAAACUUUAAUUAAUUAAAAUAUUCCUCUUCUUUUCAUAUCUUAGGAGUCAUAUGGUGUGUUCGUACUGUGUCAACACCGAAGUAACGAAGGGUCCUCUAGGGAACUCAUGCUGCUGGACCUGCUAUUCGGCUGCCUAGUCCUCUGCUUCCUCAUCAUCCUCUGUUGUCUCAUGUCUUACGAUGGUCUAUCUUCUCAGGCUCCUCCGUCUGCACAAGUUUUGAACAUCCUCAUCAAGUUCCUGAGAUCUAAAAACCAUGCCUGCGACGAUGUUGACAGGGUGGACAAAUACAAACACCAUGGACGGCCAGUCUCAUACAUCUGCCAAUUAGAUGUCGUAAGUGGGACUAUUUCGCUUACGGAUGAUAGUGCAAAUGACUCAUCCUAGCCACUUACAUAAAAAUAAUAAUUAAAAUAAACAUAUCAAUAAUUUAGAUUUUUCAUGUAUUUUUUGUGAGUAUCGAUAGGGUUUGAGUCCCAUUGUGGAUUUACGGGUGCGUGGAAUCAUAUGCAAGACCCAAAUUACAUAUAAUUUUAGGCCAAAUUUCUCUAUUUAAUACUUAAAUAUAUUGACAUUUUUCUGAAAUUUUAUAACUUCUUAAAUAUUAGUUUUAUGAAAUUUUUGGCUUUAUAGUGAAGUAUUGGAAGAUGAUGAAAGGAAAAGGAUAGAUAUUAAGGUUGUUCUAGGAUAUUUUUAUAAUAAAAAAUUAAUUUAAAAAUAUUCCUUGUCAUUAAAAUAUUUUUUAAUUUUGUCAUGUUAGAUCUAUAACGACUAUGUACGCAUUUUUGUAUGGAAAGCGUGUGCAUAUUUUAUGGCUUAAAAGAUAUUAAACUAAUAUUUUCGUGAAAUUUAAAAGAUCACAAGAUGUAGUUUGCUUAUAAAAAUUUACUAACUUUGGGUGUUAAUUUUUUCAAAAUUUUAAUGCGUUCGUAGCUUAAUUUGGAUGCGUUUUGUGAGUGCUAAUAACCCAUGUCUGACAAAAUAUGGUGCAGGAAGUUCAAGAAGUGGGAAUAGACAAGAAUUGAGAACAAGAUCAUAUACUGGCCCAUGACAAAGCAACUAGUAUUAGAGCUUUUUGAAAGAAUGUGUGUGUAUCGAUAGUAAUUCGAUUAAUGAAUGCAAUGAUUUAGUGUAGGUUUAGUUUCACG
RNAcentral lists this long non-coding RNA (1347 nucleotides) under Cicer arietinum (chickpea). Its description in RNAcentral is "long non-coding RNA (CARI_LNC000966)". The record is from RNAcentral. Lineage: Eukaryota; Viridiplantae; Streptophyta; Magnoliopsida; Fabales; Fabaceae.